Molecule: long non-coding RNA, 255 nt
Filed under: Sorghum bicolor (sorghum)
Lineage: Eukaryota; Viridiplantae; Streptophyta; Magnoliopsida; Poales; Poaceae
Description: long non-coding RNA (SBIC_LNC007518)
Source: RNAcentral
GGCCGCUACUAUUCUUCCUUGUCCAUCAGGGCGCACCCAUGGCAAAGAACUCUGUGGGAUGCUUCGCUCAAUAUUUUUUAUCUUCAUAGGAUGGUCCACAAAGAGGGACAUAUCACUGAACUGGUUAAAAUCCUCCAGAUCCGAUACACCGUCAACUCCAACUGCUUGUUGCUUUCCUGGAAAAACUACAUGCUUCGGUUUGUCGGUACUUUUCUUCUCAUUCUUAGAAAGGAUCUGCUCAGCAUAGAAAACCUG